RNAcentral lists this ribosomal RNA (523 nucleotides) under Clostridioides difficile. Its description in RNAcentral is "bacterial SSU rRNA". It matches the Rfam family "Bacterial small subunit ribosomal RNA", at positions 1 to 549 of the family's 1533-position model. The record is from RNAcentral. Lineage: Bacteria; Bacillati; Bacillota; Clostridia; Peptostreptococcales; Peptostreptococcaceae.
UUUUAUUUGAGAGUUUGAUCCUGGCUCAGGAUGAACGCUGGCGGCGUGCCUAACACAUGCAAGUUGAGCGAUUUACUUCGGUAAAGAGCGGCGGACGGGUGAGUAACGCGUGGGUAACCUACCCUGUACACACGGAUAACAUACCGAAAGGUAUGCUAAUACGGGAUAAUAUAUUUGAGAGGCAUCUCUUGAAUAUCAAAGGUGAGCUAGUACAGGAUGGACCCGCGUCUGAUUAGCUAGUUGGUAAGGUAACGGCUUACCAAGGCGACGAUCAGUAGCCGACCUGAGAGGGUGAUCGGCCACAUUGGAACUGAGACACGGUCCAAACUCCUACGGGAGGCAGCAGUGGGGAAUAUUGCACAAUGGGCGAAAGCCUGAUGCAGCAACGCCGCGUGAGUGAUGAAGGCCUUCGGGUCGUAAAACUCUGUCCUCAAGGAAGAUAAUGACGGUACUUGAGGAGGAAGCCCCGGCUAACUACGUGCCAGCAGCCGCGGUAAUACGUAGGGGGCUAGCGUUAUCCGGA